Molecule: long non-coding RNA, 2623 nt
Filed under: Homo sapiens (human)
Lineage: Eukaryota; Metazoa; Chordata; Mammalia; Primates; Hominidae
Description: HSALNT0195729
Source: RNAcentral
AAGGCCAGAGAAUAAAUUUGUUAAGCUUUGGGGGCCACAGUCUCUGUUGCAACUAUUCAACUUGGCCUUGGCAGCAUGAAAGCAGCCACAGAUGACACAUAGCUUUGCUCCAAUAAAACGUUAACUGAUGGACACUGACAGGUAAAUUUUGUGUAAUUUCCACAUCAUAAAGUACUAUUCUUCUUUCAAUUUUUCACCAAUCAUUUAAAAAUGUGAAAACCAGGCCGGGCAUAGUGGCUCACACCUGUAAUCCCAGCACUUUGGGAGACUGAGGCGGGCAGAUCACCUGAGGUCAGGAGUUCGAGAGCAGCCUGGACAAGGUGAAACCCCGUCUCUACUAAAAAUACAAAAAUUAGCCAGGCAUGGUGGUGGGCGCUUGUAAUUCCAGCUACUCGGUUAGCUGAGGCAUGAGAAUCACUUGAACCUGGGAGGUGGAGGUUGCAGUGAGCCAAGAUCAUGCCACUGCACUCCAGCCUGGGUGACUGAGACUCUGUCUCAAAAAAAUAAAAAAUAAAUAACUAAAUAAAAAUGUAAAAACCAUUCUUAGCUCAUGGGGCUGUAUAAAAACAGGCCACAGGUGGAUAUGGCUCUCGGCUGUGAGUUACAGACACCUGCUGUAGGGGGGCAAAAGGGCAGGAAAGGCACUCUCUGGCUUAAGCAUGGGUGGGGGCAUCCCAAACCAGGUCUACUUCUCUGUGUCCAGCAAGGGACUUACACCCGAUAACUCAUCUCUGCAUGACCUGCUCUUCUCGUCUUUCUCACCUCUCACCUGUAUUUGGGAUCCUUCCUGCUGGGAGCAUCCGGGUCUGUCAGGACCAAGGUGUAGAGCUUCCCUGAAUCAAGACCAUCCCACGAAAUGCUGGUGGGUCUAUUCUUAACCUGUAUGAAGGAACCAGUUUGCAGUAAAAAAGUCAGAAAUGCUGAAGAAACUGGCUGGGUGUGGUGGCUCACGCCUGUAAUCCCAGCACUUUGGGAGGCCUAGGAGAGAGGAUCACUUGAGGUCAGGGGUUUGAGACCAGCCUGGCCAACACGGUGAAACCUGCCUCUACUAAAACUACAAAAAUUAGCUGGGCAUGGUGGCGGGAAUCUGUAAUCCCAGCUACUCGGGAGGCUGAGGUGGGAGGAUCACUUGAGCUGGGGAGGCAGAGGCUGCAGGCGGCCAAGAUCACCCCACUGCACUCCAGCCUGGGCGACAGAGUGAGACUCUGUCUCAAAAACAAGAAAUGCUGAAGAAACCAAUACUCUUUCUUUGAUCUCAGACUCUCCAAAGACAAAACAGAAUAGAUUUUUAAUAAAAUCAAUGACCCUGUAUUGACUGUAAGAGCCAGGAGCUGGAGUUUUAUAUACGUUAUGUAUUUUAUUUGAGACCAGGUCUCCUUCUGUCACUCAGGCCGGAGUGUAGUGACGCUAUCAAGGCUCACUGUAGCCUCAACCUCCAGCGCUCAAUCGAUCGAUCCUCCCACCUCAGCCUCCUGAGCAGCUGGGAACUACAUGCUCACACCAUCACACCUGGCCAAUUUUUUUUUGUAGAGUUGGGGUCUUGCUAUGUUGCCCAGGCUGUAUAUUAUUUCAGUCCCAACAACACCAUGGGGCUAGUAUCCCAGCACACUAUUAAGAGAAACAGAUAAGGCUGGGAUUCCAACCCUGGCACUGAGUCCCCUCUCAACGACACCCUUACAUUGUCUGUCCGGAAUCACAGCGUUUCUGGAUUUGGUGAUCAGGAGGUUACCUGGAGCCUGCUGAAGUGAAAUCUGCAUUAACUGUACGUUUCAAAGUGCAAAGAAAAGGAGAAAGCCAAGGUGAUGAGAGGCGGGCAGGGAGCAGGAAAAGGGAGGCUGUGUUAGAUGGGCACUACAUAUUUAAACAUCCAAAAAAAUUAAAUUCUGUGAACAUCCAAAACAAUGUAAGGUCGGGGCAGUUUAUUUUACGCUGUUGCCCGGAGCUUCAUAACCAACUAGCAGUGGCGUCUGCAAAUCUAGUUUCUUCACUUUCGGCAGCCCCAGCCGUGGGCGUGGGAGGUCAAAGACCAAAACUAAACCGUUGCCCUCCAGCGUACCGGCUGGACGCUCUCGACCCAUUUAACAAAGGAGAAAUCGGCCGGCGCGCUCAUCGCCAGUUACAUAAUGCGUCACAGGCUCUCGGGUGAGGCUUCAGCCCUCCAAAACCAGGCCUAAAAUGCUGAGGCCCUAGGGGAAGCUCUGGGGGCGUCCGGGCAGCCACAGCCUACUCUGUCCCGGCGACGUCCCUCUCCAGCGCCCUGGCCUGUGGGGGGAGAGGGGGAUCCGGCCUGUUUCCGAACCUAGGUCCCUCUUGGGUCUGAAGCCCGGGAAAAGUGAAUGAAUUUCUGCCGCAGGCCGAACCUGCCUGGCCACGCCACAGGCCGGGUUCCCGGUGCUCGGGGUGGCCCCCAGGCAUGGGACAUGGACCCCGGGACCUCUGGCCUGGGGGGGCCUCGACACACGCAGGCUGAACCUCCCCACCGCCCCUGGCCCUGUCUCCGCUGGGUCCCACCCAGGAGGCCGGCACAGGCCUCCGCGCCGUGCCGCUCGCUGCACGCCCGCCGCCCGGUGUACCUGGGUGGGCGUCAGCACUUUGCCCAGCUCGUCCACCGGCAUGGCGAGGC